RNAcentral lists this ribosomal RNA (253 nucleotides) under uncultured bacterium. Its description in RNAcentral is "partial 16S ribosomal RNA". It matches the Rfam family "Bacterial small subunit ribosomal RNA", at positions 524 to 776 of the family's 1533-position model. The record is from RNAcentral.
UACGGAGGGUGCAAGCGUUACUCGGAAUUACGGGGCGUAAAGCGCACGUAGGUGGUUUGUUAAGCCAGCUGUGAAAUCCCCGGGCUCAACCUGGGCACUGCAGUUGGAACUGGCAAGCUAGAGUAGGGUAGAGGGGUGUGGAAUUCCAGGUGUAGCGGUGAAAUGCGUAGAUAUCUGGAGGAACAUCAGUGGCGAAGGCGACACCCUGGACUCAUACUGACACUGAGGUGCGAAAGCGUGGGGAGCAAACAGG